Molecule: ribosomal RNA, 467 nt
Filed under: uncultured bacterium
Lineage: Bacteria
Description: partial 16S ribosomal RNA
Rfam family: Bacterial small subunit ribosomal RNA
Source: RNAcentral
GACGAACGCUGGCGGCGUGCUUAACACAUGCAAGUCGAACGGAAAGGCCCUGCUUUUGUGGGGUGCUCGAGUGGCGAACGGGUGAGUAACACGUGAGUAACCUGCCCUUGACUUUGGGAUAACUUCAGGAAACUGGGGCUAAUACCGGAUAGGAGCUCCUGCUGCAUGGUGGGGGCUGGAAAGUUUCGGCGGUUGGGGAUGGACUCGCGGCUUAUCAGCUUGUUGGUGGGGUAGUGGCUUACCAAGGCUUUGACGGGUAGCCGGCCUGAGAGGGUGACCGGCCACAUUGGGACUGAGAUACGGCCCAGACUCCUACGGGAGGCAGCAGUGGGGAAAAUUGCACAAUGGGCGGAAGCCUGAUGCAGCAACGCCGCGUGCGGGAUGACGGCCUUCGGGUUGUAAACCGCUUUCGCCUGUGACGAAGCGUGAGUGACGGUAAUGGGUAAAGAAGCACCGGCUAACUACGU